AAGAAUCACCAUGAGCCGGGGUCGUAUUUUAAUCUUGGCGCGAUCGGCUCGAGGCAGUUCUUCG
Molecule: microRNA precursor, 64 nt
Filed under: Euprymna scolopes
Lineage: Eukaryota; Metazoa; Mollusca; Cephalopoda; Sepiida; Sepiolidae
Description: Esc-Mir-12541_pre stem-loop
Source: RNAcentral